CGGGCUCGUGGUGUAGGGGCCAAACACGCCGGCCUGUCAAGCCGGAGAUCGGGGGUUCAAAUCCCCUCGAGCCCGCCAU
This 79-nucleotide transfer RNA is filed under the name Coprothermobacter proteolyticus DSM 5265. RNAcentral describes it as "tRNA-Asp". It matches the Rfam family "tRNA". From Rfam's summary of the family: Transfer RNA (tRNA) molecules are approximately 80 nucleotides in length. Their secondary structure includes four short double-helical elements and three loops (D, anti-codon, and T loops). Lineage: Bacteria; Pseudomonadati; Coprothermobacterota; Coprothermobacteria; Coprothermobacterales; Coprothermobacteraceae. The record is from RNAcentral.